UGCAGUCGAACGAUGAUCCCAGCUUGCUGGGGGAUUAGUGGCGAACGGGUGAGUAACACGUGAGUAACCUGCCCUUGACUCUGGGAUAAGCCUGGGAAACUGGGUCUAAUACCGGAUACGACCAUCUGGCGCAUGUCAUGGUGGUGGAAAGCUUUUGUGGUUUUGGAUGGACUCGCGGCCUAUCAGCUUGUUGGUGGGGUAAUGGCCUACCAAGGCGACGACGGGUAGCCGGCCUGAGAGGGUGACCGGCCACACUGGGACUGAGACACGGCCCAGACUCCUACGGGAGGCAGCAGUGGGGAAUAUUGCACAAUGGGCGCAAGCCUGAUGCAGCGACGCCGCGUGAGGGAUGACGGCCUUCGGGUUGUAAACCUCUUUCAGUAGGGAAGAAGCGAAAGUGACGGUACCUGCAGAAGAAGCGCCGGCUAACUACGUGCCAGCAGCCGCGGUAAUACGUAGGGCGCAAGCGUUAUCCGGAAUUAUUGGGCGUAAAGAGCUCGUAGGCGGUUUGUCGCGUCUGCUGUGAAAGACCGGGGCUCAACUCCGGUUCUGCAGUGGGUACGGGCAGACUAGAGUGCAGUAGGGGAGACUGGAAUUCCUGGUGUAGCGGUGAAAUGCGCAGAUAUCAGGAGGAACACCGAUGGCGAAGGCAGGUCUCUGGGCUGUAACUGACGCUGAGGAGCGAAAGCAUGGGGAGCGAACAGGAUUAGAUACCCUGGUAGUCCAUGCCGUAAACGUUGGGCACUAGGUGUGGGGGGACAUUCCACGUUUUCCGCGCCGUAGCUAACGCAUUAAGUGCCCCGCCUGGGGGAGUACGGGCCGCAAGGCUAAAACUCAAAGGAAUUGACGGGGGGCCCGCACAAGCGGCGGAGCAUGCGGAUUAAUUCGAUGCAACGCGAAGAACCUUACC
RNAcentral lists this ribosomal RNA (910 nucleotides) under Paenarthrobacter nitroguajacolicus. RNAcentral's name for it is "bacterial SSU rRNA". It matches the Rfam family "Bacterial small subunit ribosomal RNA", at positions 56 to 975 of the family's 1533-position model. The record is from RNAcentral. Lineage: Bacteria; Bacillati; Actinomycetota; Actinomycetes; Micrococcales; Micrococcaceae.